Molecule: ribosomal RNA, 628 nt
Filed under: uncultured bacterium
Lineage: Bacteria
Description: bacterial SSU rRNA
Rfam family: Bacterial small subunit ribosomal RNA
Source: RNAcentral
GGAGUACGGCCGCAAGGCUAAAACUCAAAGGAAUUGACGGGGACCCGCACAAGCGGUGGAUGAUGUGGAUUAAUUCGAUGCAACGCGAAAAACCUUACCUACCCUUGACAUGUCAGAGAUCCCUGAGAGAUUGGGGAGUGCCGCAAGGAAUCUGAACACAGGUGCUGCAUGGCUGUCGUCAGCUCGUGUCGUGAGAUGUUGGGUUAAGUCCCGCAACGAGCGCAACCCUUGUCGUUAAUUGCCAUCAUUAGGUUGGGCACUUUAACGAGACUGCCGGUGACAAACCGGAGGAAGGUGGGGAUGACGUCAAGUCCUCAUGGCCCUUAUGGGUAGGGCUUCACACGUCAUACAAUGGUCGGUACAGAGGGUUGCGAAGCCGCGAGGUGGAGCCAAUCCCAGAAAGCCGAUCGUAGUCCGGAUCGCAGGCUGCAACUCGCCUGCGUGAAGUCGGAAUCGCUAGUAAUCGCGGAUCAGCAUGUCGCGGUGAAUACGUUCCCGGGUCUUGUACACACCGCCCGUCACACCAUGGGAGUGGGUUCUGCCAGAAGUAGGUAGCUUAACCGCAAGGAGGGCGCUUACCACGGCAGGGUUCAUGACUGGGGUGAAGUCGUAACAAGGUAACCAAGGG